CGUGUGGAGAAAAUAUACAAGUAAGACCGCUACGUGCCUGGCGACUGGAGAUGUGAUGGGGCACAGCGCACAGAGAGCCAUAAUGGCCUCAUGCUACAGGUCUGGGACGCUCAGCAACACCCCAGCAGGCACUGCACUGUCUAGUGGACAAGCUCUGUUAGCAGGAAGAGCUUCUCUGCGUCUGCUCAAGAAAGGCUGGUCAAGGCUCCCUCCACCUACACAUACUGUGGUUGGAGAAAUCAAGGUUCCUGGCAAAAGAGAGUAGCUUCACGGGAGGCAUGAGGCCGAGGUCGUUCUGUCAUGCUCUCCUAGUCUCCAUCCGACCGACCGUCCAAAGCGUCCUACUAGCGUCUGGCUGAGGGAAGGAAGCAGGGCCUAGAUCCAUACAAAAACAGCUUGGCCACAGCAAGAAUCUGCGUACAAACCAGCAAAUGAGGCAGAAAACUUCCUUCCCAGGGAAGAAUUGCAAAGCGUCCCCAGAGAUAGCUAAUAAAAUUUACUUUUUUUUAGUUUCAGUUUGUAGUAUUUUUUUUAACAUGGUGGGCAUGUAAAUUCAACUCUCUGUAUUGAAGAAGCAAAAACUUUGCAUUCCUAAAGAAUCCAUCAUGUGUUAUUCCUGAGGCUUGCCUUUUGAUUCCAUUGACCGUUAGCUCAGUAGAAAUCAGACAUGACUAGUCACUGAAUAUGUGUAUUAGCUCAACCCACCUAGAAAAAGUGUUCUUAAAAUCCGUUCUUGGUAGAAGGGCUUUGUAACUCGAAAAAUGCCCCCUUCGCUUCCAUAUAAAACUAAACCAAAUCACUCUAUUAGAGCAUUAUUUGUUAUGUAAAUUGUAUUUCAAUACAUAAAAAUAAAGCAUGGUUUUAAAAACU
RNAcentral lists this long non-coding RNA (870 nucleotides) under Rattus norvegicus (Norway rat). RNAcentral's name for it is "long non-coding RNA NONRATT015154". The record is from RNAcentral. Lineage: Eukaryota; Metazoa; Chordata; Mammalia; Rodentia; Muridae.